RNAcentral lists this ribosomal RNA (158 nucleotides) under Hanseniaspora uvarum DSM 2768. Its description in RNAcentral is "5.8S ribosomal RNA". The record is from RNAcentral. Lineage: Eukaryota; Fungi; Ascomycota; Saccharomycetes; Saccharomycodales; Saccharomycodaceae.
AAGUAGCUGAUGUCAAACCAGUCCAAUAGGUAGUCAAGUAUGAAGUACCAUGUAAUUCAGGAGUAGCAACAUAGUAGACUGUGGAGAUAACAGGGCUUCCUGAUAUGGUAGCGGUGAACACACUGGUUGAGUAUGUAACAGUGUUAUUUCCGUCAACA